RNAcentral lists this ribosomal RNA (182 nucleotides) under uncultured bacterium. RNAcentral's name for it is "partial 16S ribosomal RNA". It matches the Rfam family "Bacterial small subunit ribosomal RNA", at positions 1319 to 1500 of the family's 1533-position model. The record is from RNAcentral.
CAUGAAGCUGGAAUCGCUAGUAAUCGCGGAUCAGAAUGCCGCGGUGAAUACGUUCCCGGGUCUUGUACACACCGCCCGUCACACCAUGGGAGUCGGGAAUGCCCGAAGUCAGCGGCCCAACCGAAAGGAGGGAGCUGCCGAAAGCAGGCCUGGUGACUGGGGUGAAGUCGUAACAAGGUAGC